CAGUCGAACGAGUUCUCGUUGAUGAUCGGUGCUUGCACCGAGAUUCAACAUGGAACGAGUGGCGGACGGGUGAGUAACACGUGGGUAACCUGCCCUUAAGUGGGGGAUAACAUUUGGAAACAGAUGCUAAUACCGCAUAGAUCCAAGAACCGCAUGGUUCUUGGCUGAAAGAUGGCGUAAGCUAUCGCUUUUGGAUGGACCCGCGGCGUAUUAGCUAGUUGGUGAGGUAAUGGCUCACCAAGGCGAUGAUACGUAGCCGAACUGAGAGGUUGAUCGGCCACAUUGGGACUGAGACACGGCCCAAACUCCUACGGGAGGCAGCAGUAGGGAAUCUUCCACAAUGGACGCAAGUCUGAUGGAGCAACGCCGCGUGAGUGAAGAAGGCUUUCGGGUCGUAAAACUCUGUUGUUGGAGAAGAAUGGUCGGCAGAGUAACUGUUGUCGGCGUGACGGUAUCCAACCAGAAAGCCACGGCUAACUACGUGCCAGCAGCCGCGGUAAUACGUAGGUGGCAAGCGUUAUCCGGAUUUAUUGGGCGUAAAGCGAGCGCAGGCGGUUUUUUAAGUCUGAUGUGAAAGCCCUCGGCUUAACCGAGGAAGCGCAUCGGAAACUGGGAAACUUGAGUGCAGAAGAGGACAGUGGAACUCCAUGUGUAGCGGUGAAAUGCGUAGAUAUAUGGAAGAACACCAGUGGCGAAGGCGGCUGUCUGGUCUGUAACUGACGCUGAGGCUCGAAAGCAUGGGUAGCGAACAGGAUUAGAUACCCUGGUAGUCCAUGCCGUAAACGAUGAAUGCUAGGUGUUGGA
RNAcentral lists this ribosomal RNA (804 nucleotides) under Lacticaseibacillus casei. RNAcentral's name for it is "bacterial SSU rRNA". It matches the Rfam family "Bacterial small subunit ribosomal RNA", at positions 59 to 827 of the family's 1533-position model. The record is from RNAcentral. Lineage: Bacteria; Bacillati; Bacillota; Bacilli; Lactobacillales; Lactobacillaceae.